This 31-nucleotide non-coding RNA is filed under the name Mus musculus (house mouse). The record is from RNAcentral. Lineage: Eukaryota; Metazoa; Chordata; Mammalia; Rodentia; Muridae.
UGUAUCUUGAUUGUGGUGAUGAUUAUAUGGU